Molecule: ribosomal RNA, 481 nt
Filed under: uncultured bacterium
Lineage: Bacteria
Description: partial 16S ribosomal RNA
Rfam family: Bacterial small subunit ribosomal RNA
Source: RNAcentral
AUUGAACGCUGGCGGCAUGCCUUACACAUGCAAGUCGAACGGUAACGCGGGGCAACCUGGCGACGAGUGGCGAACGGGUGAGUAAUGCAUCGGAACGUGCCCAGAAGUGGGGGAUAGCCCGGCGAAAGCCGGAUUAAUACCGCAUGAGACCUGAGGGUGAAAGCGGGGGAUCGCAAGACCUCGCGCUUUUGGAGCGGCCGAUGUCAGAUUAGCUAGUUGGUGGGGUAAAGGCCUACCAAGGCGACGAUCUGUAGCUGGUCUGAGAGGACGACCAGCCACACUGGGACUGAGACACGGCCCAGACUCCUACGGGAGGCAGCAGUGGGGAAUUUUGGACAAUGGGCGCAAGCCUGAUCCAGCCAUGCCGCGUGCGGGAAGAAGGCCUGCGGGUUGUAAACCGCUUUUGUCAGGGAAGAAACGCUCUGGGCUAAGACCCUGGGGUAAUGACGGUACCUGAAGAAUAAGCACCGGCUAACUACGU